This is a long non-coding RNA of Oncorhynchus masou masou (cherry salmon), 644 nucleotides long. RefSeq lists it as uncharacterized. The record is from RefSeq and is a predicted model, not a curated record. The transcript is spliced from 3 exons. Lineage: Eukaryota; Metazoa; Chordata; Actinopteri; Salmoniformes; Salmonidae.
GUUCCCUGAUUUAAGAGGUGAUGACUAAUCCACUCCACUACCAUUGUCAACUUUCUCCCGACAUGAACUGAAGCCUCAUCUCGUGCGCCUGCUCAUCCACUGACACAUUGCAAGUUUCCCCUCAAAGCACUUCAAAUCCUGUCCUGCAGUGGUCAAGUCUCUGAACACCUCAAUUCACGCCUCAUUCAAUCACUGCUGUGAUCCCUUUCCAACACUGUAAUUAUGGAAAUGCUACGAUGCUGUCCUGCAAGGCUUGGCAAAGACCAACAACGGAGAGGAGGGCUGGCAUCGAACAUGUUUGGUGACUCUUGGCACUACCCACGUCACCAUUUGGAAGUUCAUCAAGUUAUUGCAAUGACAGCAGCAAAGUGGUGAAAGGAGAAUGGUGCAGCUACUUACUGGCGUUUCCCCGCCAUGAAAUGUAGAUUACAACCCUUUCAAUGACUCCAAAAUCCUCAUGAGACCAGAACAUAAAGCACAUUCUUGGAAGAUUUGUUUCUUAUUUUUUGACCCCCUUUUCUCCCCAAUUUCAUGGUAUCCAAUCGUUAGCAGUUAACAUCUUGUCUCAUCGCUACAGAGAGACAAAGGUCGAAAGUCAUGCGUCCUCCGAAAUACAACUCAACCAAGUCGCACUGCUUCUUUAA